Molecule: ribosomal RNA, 253 nt
Filed under: uncultured bacterium
Lineage: Bacteria
Description: partial 16S ribosomal RNA
Rfam family: Bacterial small subunit ribosomal RNA
Source: RNAcentral
UACGGGGGGAGCAAGCGUUGUUCGGAUUUACUGGGCGUAAAGGGCGCGUAGGCGGCGUGACAAGUCACUUGUGAAAUCUCCGGGCUUAACUCGGAACGGUCAAGUGAUACUGUCGUGCUAGAGUGCGGAAGGGGCAACUGGAAUUCUUGGUGUAGCGGUGAAAUGCGUAGAUAUCAAGAGGAACACCUGCGGCGAAGGCGGGUUGCUGGGCCGACACUGACGCUGAGGCGCGAAAGCUAGGGGAGCGAACGGG